GUCUUAGGCCCCCUUUACACGAGCCCGGGUUGAUUUUCAACCCGGGUCAGCACGCCACAGGUGGUUAUUUUUUUAUUCUGUUUACAUGAACCCGGGUUGACGACAAUUUUGCCAACCCGGGUCAGCAAUUCUCAACCCGGGCUGACUCGAGUAAUAUUCCGAGCAACAGACUGGAGCAGAGUGUAUUUUUGGCGCUUAUAUCCCUUAAAAUCCCUUAUAGACCUCAUACGAUAUUAUUACGAUUAUAUACCUUUUAGUUUUGGCGCUUAUUAUAUCUUUCAGUAUACAAUUAUAUCCCUUUUUAUCAAGGAUUUAACCGUAUAGCAACUUAAUUCUGCCUUAAAGACGUUUUCUUCCCUUUUUUUCCUCGUUAUUUUGUACUGGAAGAUCUACUGGGCAAAAAUAUUCGGCAUCGAACGCCAACGCCAGACCUUCGCGCAACUUUGAAUACAUUGCGACAACAUCGGAGUUGAAAUCUACAAUUUUAUAAUUCAUCUCCGUCUUAUAAUCCUUCAGAGAAAGGAUUAGGUGAUCAAUAAUUUCAGACCACCACUGAAACGCGGGUUGUGCAUUUUUUCUUUUGGUUUUGGACAGUUUUUACUCGCCAUACUGUAUGAUUUUAUAUGUCUGUACCAAACAGAGACGGAGAAAAUACGCACGCAAAAUGUUGAAAUGCGAUAUGACGCUAGGUGCAAAGUUCACAAUCAGGAAUUUACCGCACUUUACAUGAUCCCGGGUCAAGCCAACCCGGCUUUACAUGAAGAAAUGAGUAAACUUUUCACGCGUUCACACCUCGCCAACCCGGGUCGACCCGGGUCUCGAGAAGGGUGCCCCGGGUUGGCGAGGUG
Molecule: non-coding RNA, 848 nt
Organism: Paramuricea clavata
Lineage: Eukaryota; Metazoa; Cnidaria; Anthozoa; Malacalcyonacea; Plexauridae
Source: the annotation of a GenBank genome assembly